Molecule: long non-coding RNA, 2291 nt
Filed under: Phasianus colchicus (ring-necked pheasant)
Lineage: Eukaryota; Metazoa; Chordata; Aves; Galliformes; Phasianidae
Description: lncRNA (ENSPCLG00000013006.1)
Source: RNAcentral
AUGCAAAGAUCCCUUGAUGUGUGGAGAAGUUCCUUCUGUUUCUGCCACCCAAAGAAUUACUGCCCUGGAAAUGUCACUAGAACUGAGGAAACUAUAUGGAAAUGUGUGAAUUGGAUUAUUUUAGAAGAAUGUGUGCAACAUACACAAUGGAAAUACCAGUUUUUAUGGUCCAAUAGGCAAAUAAUUACCAGAAAGGAAAUGAAAAUAGAUGAGAAUUUUUACUCGUUUAGCAAUGGUUGACGAUAUUUACUUCUCAGCGCAAACCUUGCCCUUUGUUCCUUACCAAAGGAACACGGAACUGUAGAUUUUCAGACUCAAAUAUUUUUCUUUACAAAACCGCUGGUAAGAGUCAAUUCGUAUCUUUUGCCGGUAGAUGGGGCUGUCCUUUCAGGUCUGUGUAUCUUUUUUUCCCCUAUAAUUAAUUUUUUUUACCCUUCUUUCUGUGUCUCUUCACCCUUCACUCAUCCCACCUUCUUUCUUUUUUUCUCUUUCUUUCUCUUUUUCUUUUUCUUUCUCUUUCUUCCUCUCUCUCUCUCUCUUUUUUUUUUUUUUUUGGUCUGCUAUUUGAUCGUAUUAGGUAAUACACACUGAGCCUCAGCAGGAAGCACUGUGGCUUUUUUUUGUUUGCUUUUCCCCCAGUGCAAAUGCAGUAAUUUAUGAAUACUUGUUAAUCUUUUGGAACUGGGAUUCUGGGAAAGUUUAUUAGAGAGCAUUUUAUCACCACUAUCUCUUAGGUUUUUAUUUUUGUCUUUCUGAUAAUACAUUUGAAAUUCCUGUUUUAUCUGGUAAGCCAGCAGGAUGUUAAAUCCUAGACUUUAGUUCAUUUAUGUUAGCUGUCCAUAUGGGGUGUUCCCCCUGACUUUUCUUUCUUUGUGGUUAAUGCUAAGCAUAAAUUAAGGAGAAAAUCCAGUUUGGUGGUUUUAAAAAUGUUUUAAAAGCUGCAGUCAAGUCUGUUGACAGCAGAAUAUUCUGCUACAAGUUGCAUUUCAUUGUAAUUAUAUUUUUGGAUUUUUGCCAGCUUGGAUUUUUGUGGGUUUCUUUCUUCUUUUUGUACUAUUGUUAUUCAAGAGCUAUUUAGAAGUAACAGUGGUCAUAUUGUUCCUUCAUAUGGAAAACAUACUAAGAACUGAAGCAAGUCAAUGCUAUAGUUGCAGGAGCAACAUUCCCAUGGAGAAGCUUGCUUUAAACACUAAAUGCUUUACCUAAGUGGUUGGGGGUUUACUGUAGGUAGAAAAGAUCACCUCCUCUCUUUUUCUGUAUCUCACCCUUUCUUCAGUUUUUCUGAUCACAUACUUUACCAGAAACCCUUCUUUUAGCUACAUACAGAUCAAACCUGGUUGUAAUGCUACAGGUACAACUCGGUUCAUAAUCUGAACCGUCUUGCUUUUUCAAACAGCACAAGAAAUUGGCCAGGUGGACAUCAAGCUCUUUCAGCGUCUUUUCUAAAAUGGAUUUCUUCUCUGCUCCUUAUCUGAGGUACGUGUUUAAAAGACUCUCAGUGAAUUCACUUACUGUGGGUUGAGCUGACUGCUCCAUCCCCCCUUUGAAAGAGUUGUGGUCGUUCAUCCUACAGUAUUUGAAAAUGGAUUGGUGUUUUUCUGUCACUGUUGAAAAUCUAUUCAGUUGCAUUUAUUUCAGAAAUGCUUAUUUCAUAGUUAUGAUGUCUAAUGCUUGAACUGUAUUGGCUUUAUGAGUACUGUAUUCUUGAAAUGCACCUACUUUUUCAUUAUGUUUUUCAAGCUUGACCCAUGUGUUAUUAAGUACAAAGGAAGAAGAUUGUGCUAAAAAUGACUCUGAGAAUUAAUGUGAAACAAUAACAGGAUGAUUGCUGUCAAGACUGACACCUUGUUGGUUUACUCUCUUGAGCCUAAUUUGUGUGAUCUUGAAUAUUUGCUGAAAUGUUUAGACACAAGAAAGCAAGCUAGAGACAGGCAGCCUUAAUCAGAUUGUCUUCAGUUUGUCAGAUAGUUGCAGGUAGUUUUCAUUAUUUUAAACAAAGUAUCCAUGUCUAGGGAAGAAAAGAAGAUCGAAUUUUUAUUGUAUAAUGAAGAGUAUGAUCCAAACAGUUCUAGGGAAAUUUUAGGAAAAUGAUAGCAAUUUGCUUAAUCGCUCUUUUUAAGUAAAAGGCCUUGCUAUAAUGAAAUUUGGGGAUACAUUGUAGAUAAGUAUAAUGGAAUCAUAUAUCCUAUCAGUUGUUUGAAACACUACUUUAUAUCGGGGGUAAGAAUAACUUCUUACUGAUCACUGAAAUCUAUAAUAAAAUUAUUUUCUUAGAAUAUUAACUUGCUUUG